CCCUUAGAUGUUCUGGGCGGCCCGCGCACUACAAUGGCGUGUGCAGCGAGUGCCGAAGGAGAGUUUUCCGAGGUAUUCUUGCAAUGCUCGUUUUGAUGGGGAUAGACCCUUGCAACUGUUGGUUUUGAACGAGGAAUUCCUUGUAAGCAUGGUUUAUCAUCCGACGCUGAAUGCGUCCCUGCCCUUUGUACACACCGCCCGUCGCUCCUACCGAUGAGUCGUCCGGUGAAGUUCGUAGACCUCGUGGUCGCGGAUCACUGGGGGAAGCAAAAUGAACCUCGCGGUUUAGAGGAAGGAGAAGUCGUAACA
This 309-nucleotide ribosomal RNA is filed under the name uncultured eukaryote. Its description in RNAcentral is "partial 18S ribosomal RNA". It matches the Rfam family "Eukaryotic small subunit ribosomal RNA", at positions 1470 to 1796 of the family's 1831-position model. The record is from RNAcentral.